UGUCAAAUCAUCAUGCCCCUUAUGUUCUGGGCUACACACGUACUACAAUGGGAAAUACAACGGGAAGCCAAGCAGCGAUGCGGAGCAAAUCCCUAAAAACUUCCCUCAGUUCGGAUUGGAGUCUGCAACUCGGCUCCAUGAAGCUGGAAUUGCUAGUAAUCGCGAAUCAGCAUGUCGCGGUGAAUACGUUCCCGGGCCUU
This 200-nucleotide ribosomal RNA is filed under the name uncultured prokaryote. Its description in RNAcentral is "partial 16S ribosomal RNA". It matches the Rfam family "Bacterial small subunit ribosomal RNA", at positions 1183 to 1382 of the family's 1533-position model. The record is from RNAcentral.